This 454-nucleotide ribosomal RNA is filed under the name uncultured bacterium. RNAcentral describes it as "bacterial SSU rRNA". It matches the Rfam family "Bacterial small subunit ribosomal RNA", at positions 340 to 786 of the family's 1533-position model. The record is from RNAcentral.
UACGGAAAGCAGCAGUGGGGAAUAUUGCACAAUGGGCGCAAGCCUGAUGCAGCCAUGCCGCGUGUAUGAAGAAGGCCUUCGGGUUGUAAAGUACUUUCAGUCGUGAGGAAGGUGUUAAGGUUAAUAACCUUAGCAAUUGACGUUAGCGACAGAAGAAGCACCGGCUAACUCCGUGCCAGCAGCCGCGGUAAUACGGAGGGUGCGAGCGUUAAUCGGAAUUACUGGGCGUAAAGGGCACGCAGGCGGUUAAUUAAGUUGGAUGUGAAAUCCCCGGGCUUAACCUGGGAAUGGCAUUCAAGACUGGUUAGCUAGAGUCUUGUAGAGGGGGUAGAAUUCCAUGUGUAGCGGUGAAAUGCGUAGAGAUGUGGAGGAAUACCGGUGGCGAAGGCGGCCCCUGGGACAAAGACUGACGCUCAUGUGCGAAAGCGUGGGGAGCAAACGAGGAUUAGAUACC